GGGGAAGUGAGGGGAGGAGAACGGAAACCGGAAGGGAAAACGGCUUCAAAAGAGGCAACGGGCUCUUCCAACGUAAUAGAAAGGCCGACUGUGACUCCCACUAUGUAGGACGAUCUUGAGCUUCUGUGAUCGGUCUUGGGGCGGCGCAUGCUGGGAAUUGUAGUCUCCUGAGUAACAUCUCCUCUCUGCCGCGGAUGUUCCUUCACUGAGAGAGCUCCAGAAGGUUCUGGAAACUGCGGGAAUGGUGAAGAUCUGGAAGUAGGUAAAGACCAAGACCCUGAAAAGCUGCUGCCAAUCUGAGUCAAUAAAUCUGACCUUGAGAGACCAACUGGUUUAAUCCAGUAUAAAACAUGAGGGUAUCAAGGGCAGGAAAGAAGACAAGGAGCUGAGUGACCUGGAAGAGACGGUUCAGUGGCAAAUUUGGAUUUGUCAUUACAUAAUGUAUGAAUUGGUUUAAAUACAGCCAGUUGCUCACUGAUGACUAUAUAUGAAUGUUAA
Long non-coding RNA from Eublepharis macularius, 498 nucleotides. RefSeq lists it as uncharacterized. NCBI's taxonomy places the organism in Eukaryota, Metazoa, Chordata, Lepidosauria, Squamata, Eublepharidae. The record is from RefSeq and is a predicted model, not a curated record. The transcript has 3 exons.